CCCCAGACUCCUACGGGAGGCAGCAGUGGGGAAUAUUGCACAAUGGGGGAAACCCUGAUGCAGCGACGCCGCGUGAGCGAUGAAGUAUUUCGGUAUGUAAAGCUCUAUCAGCAGGGAAGAAGAUGACGGUACCUGACUAAGAAGCCCCGGCUAACUACGUGCCAGCAGCCGCGGUAAUACGUAGGGGGCAAGCGUUAUCCGGAUUUACUGGGUGUAAAGGGAGCGUGGACGGCGACGCAAGCCAGAUGUGAAAGCCCGGGGCUCAACCCCGGGACUGCAUUUGGAACUGUGUGGCUGGAGUGUCGGAGAGGCAGGCGGAAUUCCUAGUGUAGCGGUGAAAUGCGUAGAUAUUAGGAGGAACACCAGUGGCGAAGGCGGCCUGCUGGACGAUGACUGACGUUGAGGCUCGAAAGCGUGGGGAGCAAACAGGAUUAGAUACCCGUGUACA
RNAcentral lists this ribosomal RNA (448 nucleotides) under uncultured bacterium. RNAcentral's name for it is "bacterial SSU rRNA". It matches the Rfam family "Bacterial small subunit ribosomal RNA", at positions 329 to 794 of the family's 1533-position model. The record is from RNAcentral.